CAUUCGACGCUGCUGGCUUACGUGG
This 25-nucleotide microRNA is filed under the name Drosophila ananassae. RNAcentral's name for it is "Dan-Mir-978-v2_5p* (star (passenger))". The record is from RNAcentral. Lineage: Eukaryota; Metazoa; Arthropoda; Insecta; Diptera; Drosophilidae.